ACACGAAGGUGGCAAGCGUUGCUCGGAAUUACUGGGCGUAAAGAGCACGUAGGCGGUGAUAUAAGUCGGAAGUGAAAGCCCCCGGCUCGACCGGGGAAUUGCUUUCGAUACUGUAUCACUAGUCGGUCGGCGGGGAGAAUGGAAUGCUCGGUGGAGCGGUGAAAUGCAUAGAUAUCGGGUGGAACGCCGGUGGCGAAGGCGGUUCUCUAGCCGAUUAGAGACGCUGAGGUGCGAAAGCGUGGGGAGCAAACAGGAUUAGAAACCCUAGUAGUCC
Molecule: ribosomal RNA, 274 nt
Filed under: uncultured bacterium
Lineage: Bacteria
Description: partial 16S ribosomal RNA
Rfam family: Bacterial small subunit ribosomal RNA
Source: RNAcentral